CUCCACCUCCCGUAGCUCCGGGUCCCCCGAUGGAGCAGCAAUGGGAGAUCCCGCCGCGAGUGGGUCUGUCUGACCUCAAUUCCAGCCUUUCCAUUCAACAGCCAUUCACUACCUGUGCCGGGCUCUGUGCUAGGAUCCAGCCCUCAACAGACUGAUUCAUUGCUAGGCGGCGCCAACAUCCCGUACACGAGGAACUCUAAGACAACGUGAUUCGUGCCGUAACAGGUGGGAGAGAGAGAGCAAUUAAUUCUGCCUGGAGGAAGGGCAUUCCGAGUAAAGGAAUGCUCACGGUCCGGGGGACUGCGUGCUGGAGCUGAAAGAGUGUGUUCCUCGUGGAAAUAACUGGAGGUGAGGCGGGGUGGGGAAGGCUGGGACGAAGAAUUUGGAUUUUAUGAUGUUGGCAAUGGGGAUCCUUAAGAGAAAUGCAAGCAGUUCAAUGAUGAAAUCAGAACACCUGCCACUAACAAAGUGUAUACCUUUGGCAAGUUAUUGUUUCUCUAGGGGACUCCGUUUCUGUAUCUAUAAAUCAGAGAUAUUACCCACUUCCCAGUUUGCUGUGGGGCCUUGUUGACAGAGGAGGAAUGACUGAUUCGUCACCUGUGGAGCAGAGCUGUAAGAGGAGGAUGUGUGUAUUGGAAAGCUUAAGCUUUCCUACCUGAUCCCCUAGAUGACAUAUCCAGCAGAUAUGGAGUGGAGCUCAAUAAAUAGGACUGACUGGCCUAAGAUUCAAUCCUCAAAUCAGGGAAAGAAUCUGAGCUAUGCAUCCAGAUUAAAGGGCUGUAGGACUUCCCUGGUGGUGCAGUGGUUAAGAAUCCGCCUGCCAGUGCAGGGGACACGUGUUCGAGCCCUGGUCCGGGAAGACCCCAUAUGCCACGGAGCAGCUAAGCCCGUGCGCCACAACUACUGAGCCUGCGCUCUAGAGCCCUCGCGCUACAACUACUUAAGACAAAACGAGGGAAGCAGCCACCGCAAUGAGAAGCCCGUGCACCACAACGAAGAGUAGCCCCCACCCACCGCAACUCGAGAAAGCCCGCCCGCAGCAACGAAGACCCAACGCAGCCAAAAUUAAAUAAAUAAAUAUUUUUUAAAAGGGCUGUAAAUAUUUUCGUAAUUCUAACAGAACUUUGCCCUGUUCUGCAAUCUUAGCGCUUGCUCCGUGCUGACUUCAUCCUCUCCCAUGAAGAUACGGUCUGUAAUCCUCGCUCUAGUCCUGCACACGUCCUUCUACCCCAGGUGCUCGCUAGGUGAAUUAAUUUCCAGUCUUUGGUAAAGGGAAGGCUUCUGCGUCCCCUGGUGGUCAGAAAUGGAAACGGCUUUCCAUGAAGGGACAGUAGCUGUGGAGCCACAGAACGAUUGCUGACACACAGCCAGGAGGACUGAGUUCUAGACACAGUUUCUGCCACAAAACAGCUAUCACUUGACAUCGCACAAUCUAUCCUCUCAUCUGUGAGGUGAGGAGGCUGAUCAAAACUAGUGAUUCUCGAACUUUUCCAGAUCAAGAACAUCAUACGUUCUUUAUUUUCAUUUGUGGAUAUCUUGUUUUGAAUGAUUCCAUAUCCCUUAGAAAAUACAUUUACUAGGUAAUCAGAAUUUGGUUUCCUCAAACUCAUAGAUACAGAGAACAGACGAUUGCCAGAGAUGGGGGGCGGGGAGCAAAAUGGGUGAAGGGAGUCGAAAGGUACAAACUUCAAAUUAUAAAAAAGUAAGUCCCGGGGAUGUAAUGUACAGUAUGGUGACUGUAUUUAAUAAUACUGUAUUGUAUAUGUGGAGUUGCUAACAGAAUAGAUCCUAAAAAUUCUUAUCAAGGGUCCUCUCUGCUAUUGUCAAACUUGUUCUUAUAAACUCGUAUUUUGUAUUUUAUUUUGGUAUAUCAAUCUUGAGUACUUUAUUGUCAGGUCUUCAUUGGUAACCCCCUUCCCUAUGACAGUACAGUGUGUACUCAAUUUUGGAGCAUGGAAAAUACAUGUACUUGUCUUGUACCUGUAGUUUGGAUAUAUAAUUGACAUCUUUGGGCUUUGGGCUUUCCAAAAUUUUAAGGCUGUAAUGAGGAGUCACAUUUACAAUCAUCAAUAUAGUGUCUACAGUUCUCUACAAUGAAUAUGCUCCCUUAAUUAAAUCAUGAUGCUGGAAAAAAAAAAAGGUCUUAUCAAAACAAAAACAAAGUUGUGGGCUUCCCUGUUGGCGCAGUGGUUGAGAGUCCGCCUGCCAAUGCAGGGGACGC
This is a long non-coding RNA of Aethalodelphis obliquidens (Pacific white-sided dolphin), 2221 nucleotides long. RefSeq lists it as uncharacterized. Lineage: Eukaryota; Metazoa; Chordata; Mammalia; Artiodactyla; Delphinidae. The record is from RefSeq and is a predicted model, not a curated record. The transcript has 3 exons.